RNAcentral lists this ribosomal RNA (470 nucleotides) under uncultured bacterium. RNAcentral's name for it is "partial 16S ribosomal RNA". It matches the Rfam family "Bacterial small subunit ribosomal RNA", at positions 28 to 507 of the family's 1533-position model. The record is from RNAcentral.
GAUGAACGCUGGCGGCGUGCCUAACACAUGCAAGUCGAACGGAGAACCAGGGAGCUUGCUCCCUUCGGGUUAGCGGCGAACGGGUGAGUAACACGUGAGCAAUCUUCCCCUAACUCUGGGAUAAGCGCUGGAAACGACAUCUAAUACCGGAUACUACGCUGUACGGCAUCCUCCCCGCGUGAAAAGAACUUCGGCUGUGGAUGAGCGCGCGGUCCACCAGCUUGUUGGUGAGGUAACGGCUCACCAAGUCGCCGACGGGUGGCGGGUAUCGGAGCGUGACCGGCGACAAUGGGACUGAGAGACGGACCAGACUCGUACGGGAGGCAGCAGUGGGGAAUAUUGCACAGUGGGCGCAAGCCUGAUGCAGCAGCGCCGCGUGAGGGAAGACGGCCUUCGGGUUGUAAACCUCUUUUAGCAGGGAAGAAGCGAAAGUGACGGUACCUGAAGAAAAAGCACCGGCUAACUACGUG